GAUGGUGCCUUCGUGUAAGAUUAUGAAAAUGGUUUUCUACCAUCGUGAUAACUUGUUUUUAAAGAAAAAAAUUUUCGUGUGGGAAACAGUUUUAAAAAGAGUUUUUCGAUUUUCAUGACUUUUAGUAUUUCAAAAUGAGUUUCCAUGUGGAAAACGUUUAAACUAAUAGAUGUGGUUUUAUGAUGAGAAAAUAUGGUAAACUUGUGAUUGAAUGAAUGUGAAUUGGUUUCUGUGAUGUGAUAAUUGUAUAUGGAUGUUUAUAUACUGUGGUUGUAUCUUUUACUUGUACGACGCCGUGCAAAUUAAAAUUAAAAUUUAUAAAUGUAAUGUUUACUGUUAAACUUAUAUUUUAAUUAACAAAUAAACUUAAAAAAGUGAAAUUUAAUCCCACAUACCAAAUAUGGACAAACAUAUUGGUCUAUUCCGAUUCCGAUUCCAGCAUGAAAAAGGUGCGAACCAAACA
RNAcentral lists this long non-coding RNA (463 nucleotides) under Ananas comosus (pineapple). RNAcentral describes it as "long non-coding RNA (ACOM_LNC036179)". The record is from RNAcentral. Lineage: Eukaryota; Viridiplantae; Streptophyta; Magnoliopsida; Poales; Bromeliaceae.